This 72-nucleotide transfer RNA is filed under the name Loxodonta africana (African savanna elephant). It matches the Rfam family "tRNA". From Rfam's summary of the family: Transfer RNA (tRNA) molecules are approximately 80 nucleotides in length. Their secondary structure includes four short double-helical elements and three loops (D, anti-codon, and T loops). Lineage: Eukaryota; Metazoa; Chordata; Mammalia; Proboscidea; Elephantidae. The record is from Rfam by way of RNAcentral.
GCCCUGGUUGCUCAAUGGUUAAAGCGUUUGGCUGCUAACCGAAAGAUUAGUGGUUCAAACCCACCAGAGGUU